This 484-nucleotide ribosomal RNA is filed under the name uncultured bacterium. Its description in RNAcentral is "partial 16S ribosomal RNA". It matches the Rfam family "Bacterial small subunit ribosomal RNA", at positions 28 to 523 of the family's 1533-position model. The record is from RNAcentral.
GACGAACGCUGGCGGCGCGCCUAACACAUGCAAGUCGAACGGAGCUGAGAGGAGCUUGCUUUUCUUAGCUUAGUGGCGAACGGGUGAGUAACGCGUGAGUAACCUGCCCUGGAGUGGGGGACAACAGUUGGAAACGACUGCUAAUACCGCAUAAGCCCACGGCCCGGCAUCGGGCUGAGGGAAAAGGAUUUAUUCGCUUCAGGAUGGACUCGCGUCCAACUAGCUAGUUGGUGAGGUAACGGCCCACCAAGGCGACGAUUGGUAGCCGGACUGAGAGGUUGAACGGCCACAUUGGGACUGAGACACGGCCCAGACUCCUACGGGAGGCAGCAGUGGGGGAUAUUGCACAAUGGGGGAAACCCUGAUGCAGCGACGCCGCGUGGAGGAAGAAGGUUUUCGGAUUGUAAACUCCUGUCGUUAGGGACGAUAAUGACGGUACCUAACAAGAAAGCACCGGCUAACUACGUGCCAGCAGCCGCCGCGG